GAUGAACGCUAGCUACAGGCUUAACACAUGCAAGUCGAGGGGUAACGAGAGGAAAGCUUGCUUUCCUUGUCGACGACCGGCGCACGGGUGAGUAACGCGUAUCCAACCUGCCCCCAACUAGGGAAUAACCUUGCGAAAGUAAGACUAAUACCCUAUAAUUUCCUCAGAUGUCAUCUGACGAGGAAUAAAGAUUUAUCGGUUGUGGAUGGGGAUGCGUCUGAUUAGCUUGUUGGCGGGGUAACGGCCCACCAAGGCAACGAUCAGUAGGGGUUCUGAGGGGAAGGUCCCCCACAUUGGAACUGAGACACGGUCCAAACUCCUACGGGAGGCAGCAGUGAGGAAUAUUUGUCAAGGGGCGGAAGCCUGAACCAGCCAAGUAGCGUGCAGGAUGACGGCCCUAUGGGUUGUAAACUGCUUUUAUACAGGAAUAAAGUUAGCCACGUGUGGUUAUUUGUAGGUACUGUAUGAAUAAGGACCGGCUAAUUCCGUGCCAGCCGCCGCCGUAA
This 506-nucleotide ribosomal RNA is filed under the name uncultured bacterium. Its description in RNAcentral is "partial 16S ribosomal RNA". It matches the Rfam family "Bacterial small subunit ribosomal RNA", at positions 28 to 523 of the family's 1533-position model. The record is from RNAcentral.